AAGAAGAAGAAGAAGAAGAAGAAGAAGAAAAAACCAUGUGAUCACCUAGUUGGUCUGUUUGUCCGCGUUAUUACAUUUGAAGACGAUUAUACAUCAUCAUUAUCAUGGAAGGGAACGACCGAAGACACCAUACCAUUCUUACUGAGGGAGAAGAACCUGUGCCCCUACAGUCCGCCGGUUCACCUUUUUAUCAGUGCCCAUUCUGCUCUUAUAAGACUGCAGAAAGGCAUUUGGUGAUUAACCACAUACAAAAUCAUGCAACGGUGAAACAUAAAGGUAAAAGCCAAUGUUAGGGCAUAACUUGAACAACAAACAAAAUGCAUGU
Gymnodraco acuticeps is the source of this 325-nucleotide long non-coding RNA. RefSeq lists it as uncharacterized. NCBI's taxonomy places the organism in Eukaryota, Metazoa, Chordata, Actinopteri, Perciformes, Bathydraconidae. The transcript is spliced from 2 exons. The record is from RefSeq and is a predicted model, not a curated record.